RNAcentral lists this unclassified non-coding RNA (308 nucleotides) under fungal sp. RNAcentral describes it as "partial internal transcribed spacer region". The stretch from base 1 to 46 matches the Rfam family "Eukaryotic small subunit ribosomal RNA", at positions 1786 to 1831 of the family's 1831-position model. Lineage: Eukaryota; Fungi. The record is from RNAcentral.
AAGUCGUAACAAGGUUUCCGUAGGUGAACCUGCGGAAGGAUCAUUAACACGUAUCCAACGUAAAAAACCCCCCUGUGAACAUUCAAACCUGCUCUCGUAGCCCAGUGCGAUCCAGCAAUCCCGGUAAAUCAUUGUCGAACAGUAUUGAAUCGGGACUUCUGACAAAUGAGAAGUUACAGUUACGAUUGAGCGGAGAUAGCUGCAUGGCAUCCCAACGCCCCUUUACAACCCCAUUACCUCUGUGAGUCGCGGGAAACUAGCGGCUAAAAAACCUCGAACAACUGUUAACAAUGGAUAUCUUGGUUCUC